This is a long non-coding RNA of Gasterosteus aculeatus aculeatus (three-spined stickleback), 1378 nucleotides long. NCBI's taxonomy places the organism in Eukaryota, Metazoa, Chordata, Actinopteri, Perciformes, Gasterosteidae. The record is from Ensembl.
AUCAGAUUAUAUACUGAGGAUGAAACAUUUUCCAGAUUCUUUCUUUAAAGUGUUUAUUAAAAUGUCAAUGCACGCUACACACAUUUGUUAAAAUACAAACAGGACAUUAUACUGUUUUAUGAAAUAAAAGUUGAAUCAAUAUGAACAGUCAGCUACAGUCAAUAAUGCAUGCAAGCACUUUAUAUAAUGUGUUGGGCAUCUUCCUGACACGCUAUCACAAGAUGAUAGAAAUGAUAUGGAGGUUGUGAUGACUUAGAAAAAUAAAAAACAGCUUCAGCACAACCAGGAUCCACUCUUAUUGUUAAUUCUCUGUUCGCUGUGACCUCUGCUUUCCUCUUUAUUACAAUCACUGCUACAAUCCCUCCAACCACCACCAGCAGCACUGCCAGUCCUGCACACACAGCAUAGGCAGCAACAUUAGAGCCUGUUGAUGGAUCGGCUUCGGGGUCAGAUUUCGGGCUCCGUUCUACUACUACUGUUUUUAUGGAAGUCGUCUUCUAAAACAACACACCAGUACACUCCUUGGUCUCUUGCCUCCAGGUGGAAUAUAUUGAACAAGGAGCCAUUCUCAGACAGAGACAGUCUUCCUCUCAGAUCCCCGGGGAUGUGAACAGUCGCGUCCCUUGAGUCGUAGAUACGUUUAUUUUUGCCCAAUCCAGGCUCCGGUGCCACUGCACCCUAUGGAUAUCGUCUCUGUCAGCGUUGCACUCCAGCAGCGUGUUCCCGCCCUCAACGGAAACUUUUUCUUGGGAUUCUUUUUGGGAACAAUUAACCAGAACGUACUGCAAUUCAAGCGAGGAGGAGAUGCACGAAUAGUCCCCACUGAGCUCAUCAGAAAAAGCAGGAAUGACCAAUGAGAAGUCUUCAGAUUUUUCACCAAAUGACACGUGCAUCUUCUCGCUAUCCCCAUCGAGACUCCCAAAGGGAGACUCCCAGUGCUGGUCGUUCCCUUCAGAGGGGCAUAGUAACACCACUUUGUCCCCGUCCGAGGCAAAAAUGUACCUGCUGUCACUGCCUUCUGACGGUUCCACGUUCUGAAAACUGAGACAGUUCUCACCUUUGCUCACAAGACAAAUAAAAUGUAGAUUUUUCUUUAACUGGCUGUUUUUGAGUAAGAGCAAUGUCCCGUGAUCUCUGACCUCCACCACACUCUGUAGCUCCUUCACCAGCGGCACCAAUAACACGGUGCUAUCCAGGAGGAGCGUUGGCUUGUAUGAGGGAUACGACUCGUAGUACCAGCGCACAGAGGUUCCCUCCCAACCGAUGUAUCUGCUGUUGCAUUGAAUCUCAGCCCCUCCGUUUUCUUCCUUCACAUGAAUCUCUUCAGGUGAGGCUUCCUCAUUGCACACAAACAGCUCCUGUUUGUGCUGGCUGUGCU